RNAcentral lists this ribosomal RNA (485 nucleotides) under uncultured bacterium. RNAcentral's name for it is "bacterial SSU rRNA". It matches the Rfam family "Bacterial small subunit ribosomal RNA", at positions 29 to 531 of the family's 1533-position model. The record is from RNAcentral.
AACGAACGCUGGCGGCGUGCCUAACACAUGCAAGUCGAACGAACGUAGCAAUACGUUAGUGGCGCACGGGUGAGUAACACGUGGGAAUCUGCCUUAUAGUUCGGAAUAACACCGGGAAACUGGUGCUAAUACCGGAUACGCCCUUCGGGGAAAGGUUUUCGUCUAUAAGAUGAGCCCGCCGUUGGAUUAGCUAGUUGGUGGGGUAAGUGGCGUCACCAAGGCGACGAUCCAUAGCUGAUCUGAGAGGAUGAUCAGCCACACUGGGAUUGAGAUACGGCCCAGACUCCUACGGGAGGCAGCAGUCGAGAAUAGUCUACAAUGGUCGGAAGACUGAUAGUGCGACGCCGCGUGAACGAUGAAUCCUUCGGGUGUAAAGUUCUUUAUAUGUGAGCAGUGCUUCUUAUAUUAACAGUAUGGGGAGAGAGAUAUUAGCAUAUGAAUAAGCAACGGCUAACUCCGUGCCAGCAGCCGCGGUAAAACGUCUA